Molecule: ribosomal RNA, 547 nt
Filed under: uncultured bacterium
Lineage: Bacteria
Description: bacterial SSU rRNA
Rfam family: Bacterial small subunit ribosomal RNA
Source: RNAcentral
UGGGGAAUAUUGCGCAAUGGGGGGAACCCUGACGCAGCCAUGCCGCGUGAAUGAAGAAGGCCUUCGGGUUGUAAAGUUCUUUCGGUAUUGAGGAAGGUUGAUGUGUUAAUAGCACAUCAAAUUGACGUUAAAUACAGAAGAAGCACCGGCUAACUCCGUGCCAGCAGCCGCGGUAAUACGGAGGGUGCGGGCGUUAAUCGGAAUAACUGGGCGUAAAGGGCACGCAGGCGGUUAUUUAAGUGAGGUGUGAAAGCCCCGGGCUUAACCUGGGAAUUGCAUUUCAGACUGGGUAACUAGAGUACUUUAGGGAGGGGUAGAAUUCCACGUGUAGCGGUGAAAUGCGUAGAGAUGUGGAGGAAUACCGAAGGCGAAGGCAGCCCCUUGGGAAUGUACUGACGCUCAUGUGCGAAAGCGUGGGGAGCAAACAGGAUUAGAUACCCUGGUAGUCCACGCUGUAAACGCUGUCGAUUUGGGGGUUGGGGUUUAACUCUGGCGCCCGUAGCUAACGUGAUAAAUCGACCGCCUGGGGAGUACGGCCGCAAGGUUA